UUUACGGAGAAAAAUCCGUUAUCGAUUCUUUUAAUCAAAUUUUGAAACAUGUGAAGUAUGUGAAUGAGAGACAGCGUGGUAACUGUUUCUGAUACUUUUUGUUAUUUUAUACCUGUGGAUUUAUACAAGUUUUUGGAAGUGUUGGAUAAUAAUAAAGAAUGGUUGUUGCAGGCCAUUGGCAUUGACCGUGCUUAUAUGUAGAUUGUUUUUCAUUUUGGAUUAUUUGAAAAUUGUCGAUUAACCAUUUUAUCUGGUUUAACAUUUCGAACAGAAAUAACUUCAGUAGAGUUAAAGAGGCUGUUGAAACUAGACCUUCUAUUCUCUUCGCAACUUGCUGCAUUAGUAUACAGCAUACAACAAAUUUACAGAUCAAACAUUUUAGAUAGUAAAUACUGGAUGAUAUAAAUAAAAACAGUGCUGUACAAACUAUUUUGUGAGACAUUUUAACAUGGUAAUGCAUUUUUUUUUUAAUGUUUAUAUAUAUGAUUUUUAUUAAAAGUAUUUCUAUCUAAAGUUUGUAUUGUUUAUCAUCAUAAGCAAACUAGCGUUUCUUCUUUGGCUUCUUUGCAGCUGUUUCUCUUGUUGCAUCAUGAAGAUUUUCAGUUGGCGUCACAGGAGAUUUUUCAAAGCUUGGAUUUUUAUUUCUUGACUGCUUAGGAGUAUCAUGAGUAUUAUUAGUGCUAUCUUGAUCUCUGCCUUUUGUUGUUAAAUAUCUUGUUAUGCUCUCUUUAUGACCUGUAUUUUUGUUGCUCUUUGGCGUUUGACUUUGUUUUUUUUCUGGACAACGCACUUUCUUUAGUAUCAAGGAUUGACUGAGACUGUUCUGGGUCAUUAUCCGACUUCUUCCUUUCCUCGAUACUCAUUGAAGGCUUCGUUAUAUUUU
This is a long non-coding RNA of Mytilus californianus (California mussel), 883 nucleotides long. RefSeq lists it as uncharacterized. The transcript is spliced from 3 exons. NCBI's taxonomy places the organism in Eukaryota, Metazoa, Mollusca, Bivalvia, Mytilida, Mytilidae. The record is from RefSeq and is a predicted model, not a curated record.